This 446-nucleotide ribosomal RNA is filed under the name uncultured bacterium. Its description in RNAcentral is "partial 16S ribosomal RNA". It matches the Rfam family "Bacterial small subunit ribosomal RNA", at positions 338 to 795 of the family's 1533-position model. The record is from RNAcentral.
ACUACGGGUGGCAGCAGUCGAGAAUCAUUCACAAUGGGGGAAACCCUGAUGGUGCGACGCCGCGUGGGGGAAUGAAGGUCUUCGGAUUGUAAACCCCUGUCAUGUGGGAGCAAAUUAAAAAGAUAGUACCACAAGAGGAAGAGACGGCUAACUCUGUGCCAGCAGCCGCGGUAAUACAGAGGUCUCAAGCGUUGUUCGGAAUCACUGGGCGUAACGCGUGCGUAGGCUGUUUCGUACGUCGUGUUUGAAAGGCGCGGGCUCAACCCGCGGACGGCACAUGAUACUGCGAGAAUAGAGUAAUGGAGGGGGAACCGGAAUUCUCGGUGUAGCAGUGAAAUGCGUAGAUAGAAGGAAGAACACCAGUGGCGAAGGCGGAUGACUGGACGGCAACUGACGGUGAGGCGCGAAAGCGUGGGGAGCAAACAGGAUUAGAUACCCGUGUAGUC